Molecule: unclassified non-coding RNA, 272 nt
Filed under: plant metagenome
Description: partial contains small subunit ribosomal RNA, internal transcribed spacer 1, and 5.8S ribosomal RNA
Source: RNAcentral
UUUCCGUAGGUGAACCUGCGGAAGGAUCAUUAAUGAGUUGUCAUGGGGUUCGAUGCUGGCAGCCAGUUUUUGGAUGCAUGUGCUUGCCCUAACAAUCAUCUUCUUCCAAACACCUGUGCACAUUUUUGAGGGAGUCUUGAGUUGGUUGCCGCUCUUGGGUGAUUUUCUCACAUUCCCUUAAAUCAUUAUUCGCUAUUAACAAUGUUGAACGUGCUCUGUGCCGCAAGGCCAUUAAUAUAAUACAACUUUUAACAACGGAUCUCUUGGCUCUC